CAGCAAUCAAAAGCAAGUAGCUAACUAAUCAAAUCAAAUGCCUUAUAAUUACCAACAGGAAAUCAAACCUUGUGCAAUCAGUAACAUUUUCCUACAGAUGAAUCUUACCUGUAACAGUAAAAAAGAAAACUCUUAGCACAACUCUUAGACAGUUGAAGUUUCUGUAAAACUCUCCAGAAUAUCUCCAACCACACACUUAGAAGCA
This is a non-coding RNA of Pelobates cultripes (western spadefoot toad), 205 nucleotides long. Lineage: Eukaryota; Metazoa; Chordata; Amphibia; Anura; Pelobatidae. The record is from the annotation of a GenBank genome assembly.